AGGGCAAGUCUGGUGCCAGCAGCCGCGGUAAUUCCAGCUCCAAUAGCGUAUAUUAAAGUUGUUGCAGUUAAAAAGCUCGUAGUUGAAUUUCGGGGUUAGUAGGUUGGUCAUGCCUCAGGUAUGUACUGAUCUCACUGAUUCCUCCUUCCUGAUGAACCGUAAUGCCAUUAAUUUGGUGUUGCGGGGAAACUGGACUGUUACUUUGAAAAAAUUAGAGUGUUUAAAGCAGGCUAACGCUUGAAUACAUUAGCAUGGAAUAAUGAAAUAGGACGUUCGAUCUUAUUUUGUUGGUUUCUAAGAUUGACGUAAUGAUUAAUAGGGAUAGUUGGGGGCAUUAGUAUUCAAUUGUCAGAGGUGAAAUUCUUGGAUUUAUUGAAGACUAACUACUGCGAAAGCAUUUGCCAAGGAUGUUUUCAUUAAUCAAGAACGAAAGUUAGGGGAUCGAAGACGAUCAGAUACCGUCGUAGUCUUAACCAUAAACUAUGCCGACUAGGGAUCGGAUGAUGUUAAUUUUUUAAUGGCUCAUUCGGCGCCUUACGGGAA
Molecule: ribosomal RNA, 543 nt
Filed under: uncultured Glomeromycotina
Lineage: Eukaryota; Fungi; Glomeromycota
Description: SSU rRNA
Rfam family: Eukaryotic small subunit ribosomal RNA
Source: RNAcentral